RNAcentral lists this small RNA (17 nucleotides) under Arabidopsis thaliana (thale cress). RNAcentral describes it as "ATSL221150". Lineage: Eukaryota; Viridiplantae; Streptophyta; Magnoliopsida; Brassicales; Brassicaceae. The record is from RNAcentral.
AAUCAGUGAUGAAAUUG